GCUGUACAGAAAGAGGUAAUUCGUUUAUGUUGUCUGUAAUUCUGCUGGCCUUCCCCCCUCCCCGUUUCACAUCCUGGUUAGAAGGCAAAUAAGUCACUAACGUCCAGACAACCUAGUUUAAAGCUUCGAUCAUUUAAAUUGUCACUUUGGGUAGUGUCCAGUCUCUGAUAUGUUAAAAAUGCUCCACCUUGCAGCCUUUAGCUCUGCCUGCUUCUCACCCUAAGAUACUACUUCUCACCCCUGUCUGGAUACACAGAGAAAGAGAUGUGUGUGGGUCACACAGGACAGUGGCAGGGUUGUGGGGUGGGUCUUGGACACGUCCUCAGCAUUCUUUAUGUUCAGGGGCUUCCUGUGUCUACCUGGUGACUACUUGCCUGGCAUUCUAAGGUGGCACAAAGGCUAUUUAAUGUGUGUUCUCUCGGCUUGACCACAGUGCAAAGCAAUACAUUGAUGUGGCUUCGUCGUGGCUUUCCUGUUGCUGCUGCCUCUGUGAAACUGACAUUAGGUCCCUAUAUGGCAAUUCCUCCCUGCGGCCCUGGCUAUCUAGCCACUCUUCCCCAAGCUUUCCUUCCUUAGGGAAUCUCCCAGCACCCAAUUCUAUAAUACGACUCACCUAGUUUGGCUAUGGUGAAACCCUCCUUGUCCUCUACUAAAGAUACGGAACUAAGACCUCGCCAGUCUUCCAUGAUCCCGGCCUCAGCAACUGGCUCAGGUAUGGGCACAUGACCUAAGCUGGCCAAUCAGUCUUCUUGGGCCUUUUGUUAAAGCUCUUUUCUUUCUCUAGGUCCUUGCUGCCGUGAAGCAAGAGCCUGUCUGGAAAUGAAGGCACCAGAGGCAACAAAGCUGAGACAUGGAGACAGAGAGAGUCCAUUGAGUUCAGCUGUGCCUGAAACUCUUCAGUGAGCCAAGAAAUUCCUUUUUGGCUUAAGCCAAUUGGAGUCGUGUUUGUGACACUUGCAAAUGAAAGGAGUUAUUGACUAAUAAAACUGCCAUUUCUAUCUCUCCAAGAAUUAGGAAAUACUUCUUUAAAACUGUUUAUUUACAAUAUGCU
RNAcentral lists this long non-coding RNA (1051 nucleotides) under Papio anubis (olive baboon). Its description in RNAcentral is "lncRNA (ENSPANG00000038466.1)". The record is from RNAcentral. Lineage: Eukaryota; Metazoa; Chordata; Mammalia; Primates; Cercopithecidae.